UCACGAAAGUGGGCUGUACUAGAAGAUGCUGAGCCAACCCGCAAGGGAGCAAGCGUCCACGGUAUGGUUCAUGAUUGGGGUG
This 82-nucleotide ribosomal RNA is filed under the name uncultured bacterium. RNAcentral's name for it is "partial 16S ribosomal RNA". The record is from RNAcentral.